This 319-nucleotide long non-coding RNA is filed under the name Vigna radiata. RNAcentral describes it as "long non-coding RNA (VRAD_LNC002969)". Lineage: Eukaryota; Viridiplantae; Streptophyta; Magnoliopsida; Fabales; Fabaceae. The record is from RNAcentral.
UUUUGGCAAACUUUGCAUCGGUUUUAGUUUUUUUUGGUUUUAAGUUGUGUUUUGGGGGUGGAGAGUUGAUUUUGGGGACCCCAAAUUCCAUUGAGGAAGGUCUUGUGUUCACAAAAAGUAGUUGGAUGAAAUCAUGAGUCAAGUGCAUUAAAAAAAGGUGGUGUAAUCGUGUACCAAUAGGUGGUAAAUGUUUACGCGAAUGUUUUGUUCAAUUUGUACAGAAAGUCCUUCACAAGGGACCANUUUUUUGUACACAGGGGACCACAUUGUAAAAUUUUAACUUUUUGGCAAACUUUGGAUUGGUUUUUGAUGAUUUUGG